RNAcentral lists this microRNA precursor (105 nucleotides) under Marmota monax (woodchuck). Lineage: Eukaryota; Metazoa; Chordata; Mammalia; Rodentia; Sciuridae. The record is from RNAcentral.
CUAUAGGUCACUCAGAGAUCUUGUUAAAAUGCAGAUUCUGAUUCAGCAGGCCUGAAGAGGGGCUUGGAAUGCUGCAUUUCUCACAAGCUCCCAGACGAUACUGAG